UAAGUGUUAUGUGCCAAUUUUAGGCGUUUACACCACCAUUCCCCCAGAGUAUAUCGCACUGUUGCAAGCUAAAGACAAAAACUGACAUGAGAUUUAUUUAACAUGCAGAGAUUGGAUGGUACUUAAAAUGCAGAGUCUGAAGCUCUGCUCAAAUCUCUAUCGAUGUUUGGAAGAGCAGCUGAAUAUAUGUGUAUGUUUUCUGUACCAAAACAAGCCAUGAUCCACUCUCUCAAGUUCUUCGCAAUUCAAUACUCAACAUGGGUGUGCCGCCGGGAGCAUGUAAAGUCGUCAAAAUGCACUCUAAAAGAUGCCAUCUGUUUGCACAUUGACAAGAUAGUUGUGUCUUCAGCAGACUCCUUGUGCAGUGGGUUGAUGCUACAAAGAUCCAUCUUGCAAGACAUCAGGAAUGCAAACGCAAGGAGCCAUCAUCACUGGUUAAUCGAAAACGAGUAAUUCCUACUGCUAAUCUGAGGCCUCUUUGCGAUUCCGGUUGCAUUUUACCAGCCUAUUGUUCCUUUGAUGCUGGAAAAGCAAGGGAGAGAGACAGAGCGCCUGACAUAUCAGUAGGCGGUGGAUCUCCUUUAUUCCACUUUUCUUCAACCAUCGGUUUUCUAGAAGAUGUGUUGUCCCCCAAUGCUGGCUUGAGAUCCUGUGUGUUCUGUUCAGGUAAAUCUUCAGACUGAACGGUCAUGCUAUUUCCAGUCGCUGCAUCAUCCACCGAGUUUAUAUCUGCAUCAUCCACCACGUUUAGAUCUAGCGGAAAUGUGCACUUUCCAUUACUCUUUGAGAUUCCUGCCAUGGUCUUAUUGUCAGUGCAAUCAUGAACAGGUAAAGCUGCUAGAGGGUGUACCUUGGAUGAUAACCUUCCAUCUCUGAUCGUCCCACUUAAACUAGACUCCACAGUGGACGAUACAUUAUCCAAUUUAAUUUUCUUGUCUACUGAUCCAUUGGCUCCAUCAAUCCAGUUUGCCAUAUCCACAUUUCUUUUUUGUGCACUACGUGAUGCAUGUGAAACAAGAUCCACUGUGCCUGAGUUCAGUUCAAUGUUAUUUGCAUGAUCUACAUCCAUCAGGCUCUCUGCAUUGUUAAGGUUGAUGGCUCUGUUCUGAUUAUCU
RNAcentral lists this long non-coding RNA (1115 nucleotides) under Hordeum vulgare. RNAcentral's name for it is "long non-coding RNA (HVUL_LNC013731)". Lineage: Eukaryota; Viridiplantae; Streptophyta; Magnoliopsida; Poales; Poaceae. The record is from RNAcentral.